AUGAAGGACAGCUUUUGUGAAUCAGUCUCUAAACGGUUAAACCAGUUAUUACACAAUCUGGGUAAACUGGGAAUAUUUUUGCGGCUCAAUGAGUUUGUAUCACUGUGGUUCACGUUCGGUGGAGGAACCAGACUGGAAUUUGGAAGUGAUGUCCGUCCCACCCUGACGGUGCUGCCCCCCUCCAGUGAGGAGCUGCAGCAGGGGAAGGCCACGCUCAUGUGUCUGGCCAACAAGGGCUUCCCCUCAGACUGGAGUCUGGCCUGGAAGGUGGACGGCAGCAGCAGCAGCAGCAGCUGGGAGGAGAGCAGGAGCCCUGGGGUGCUGGAGAAGGACGGCCUCUACAGCUGGAGCAGCACCCUGAGGCUCCCUGCAGACCAGUGGAGGAAGGUGGGCUCUGUGACCUGUGAGGCCACCCAGGGCUCCCAGACUCCACUCUCAGAGACACUGAGGAGAGACCAGUGUUCCCAGUCCUGACCUGACUCACUGGGACUCUGCUGCUGGUUUUACUCUGCUACUGCUCUCAGUCUGCUCUCUGUCUCUCUCAUGACGUUUCAGUGUGAACAUGUUCUUGCUUGUGUUGAUGGUUUCAAUAUCUCAAAGCAAUAAAGAUUUGAUCAAAUGUA
Molecule: non-coding RNA, 623 nt
Organism: Epinephelus moara (kelp grouper)
Lineage: Eukaryota; Metazoa; Chordata; Actinopteri; Perciformes; Serranidae
Source: the annotation of a RefSeq genome assembly